UACGGAAGGGGCAAGCGUUGUUCGGAAUCAUUGGGCGUAAAGGGCGCGUAGGUGGUUCUGUAUGUCUACCGUGAAAGCGUACGGCUCAACCGUAUUUUGUCGGUAGAAACUGCAGGACUUGAGGCUGGGAGGGGCUGGUGGAAUUCCCGGUGUAGUGGUGAAAUGCGUAGAUAUCUGGAGGAACACCGGUGGCGAAGGCGGCGUUCUGGUCCCAUACUGACGCUGAGGCGCGAAAGCUAGGGUAGCAAACAGG
This 253-nucleotide ribosomal RNA is filed under the name uncultured bacterium. Its description in RNAcentral is "partial 16S ribosomal RNA". It matches the Rfam family "Bacterial small subunit ribosomal RNA", at positions 524 to 776 of the family's 1533-position model. The record is from RNAcentral.